GGUGGAAUGCGUAGAUAUAUGGAAGAACACCAGUGGCGAAGGCGGCUGUCUAGUCUGUAACUGACGCUGAGGCUCGAAAGCAUGGGUAGCGAACAGGAUUAGAUACCCUGGUAGUCCAUGCCGUAAACGAUGAGUGCUAAGUGUUGGAGGGUUUCCCCCUUCAGUGCUGCAGCUAACGCAUUAAGCACUCCGCCUGGGGAGUACGACCGCAAGGUUGAAACUCAAAGGAAUUGACGGGGGCCCGCACAAGCGGUGGAGCAUGUGGUUUAAUUCGAAGCUACGCGAAGAACCUUACCAGGUCUUGACAUCUUCUGCCAAUCUUAGAGAUAAGACGUUCCCUUCGGGGACAGAAUGACAGGUGGUGCAUGGUUGUCGUCAGCUCGUGUCGUGAGAUGUUGGGUUAAGUCCCGCAACGAGCGCAACCCUUAUUAUCAGUUGCCAGCAUUCAGUUGGGCACUCUGGUGAGACUGCCGGUGACAAACCGGAGGAAGGUGGGGAUGACGUCAAAUCAUCAUGCCCCUUAUGACCUGGGCUACACACGUGCUACAAUGGACGGUACAACGAGUCGCGAAGUCGUGAGGCUAAGCUAAUCUCUUAAAGCCGUUCUCAGUUCGGAUUGUAGGCUGCAACUCGCCUACAUGAAGUUGGAAUCGCUAGUAAUCGCGGAUCAGCAUGCCGCGGUGAAUACGUUCCCGGGCCUUGUACACACCGCCCGUCACACCAUGAGAGUUUGUAACACCCAAAGCCGGUGAGAUAACCUUCGGGAGUCAGCCGUCUAAGGUGGGACAGAUGAUUAGGGUGAAGUCGUAACAAGGUAACCAAGGGCGAAUUC
RNAcentral lists this ribosomal RNA (832 nucleotides) under uncultured Lactobacillus sp. RNAcentral describes it as "bacterial SSU rRNA". It matches the Rfam family "Bacterial small subunit ribosomal RNA", at positions 680 to 1513 of the family's 1533-position model. The record is from RNAcentral. Lineage: Bacteria; Bacillati; Bacillota; Bacilli; Lactobacillales; Lactobacillaceae.